UCUCCGUUGGUGAACCAGCGGAGGGAUCAUUACAGAGUUGCAAAACUCCCAAACCAUUGUGAACGUUACCUAUCCCGUUGCUUCGGCGGGCGGCCCGGGCCCCGCGCCCGGCGCCCCCCGGCCCCCCGUGGGCGCCCGCCGGAGGUAAACCAAACCCUUGAACUUCAUGGACUCUCUGAGUCUUCUGUACUGAAUAAGUCAAAACUUUCAACAACGGAUCUCUUGGUUCUG
RNAcentral lists this unclassified non-coding RNA (231 nucleotides) under plant metagenome. Its description in RNAcentral is "partial contains small subunit ribosomal RNA, internal transcribed spacer 1, and 5.8S ribosomal RNA". The record is from RNAcentral.